AAGAGGAUAGGAACUCAAAUGACUGACAUUGUCAAUUUAUAGUGAAGUAUUUCUCUUAACCGUUCUACUUUCUGGGUCUGGAUGAAGAAUUGUCUUGCUACAAGACGGUAGCGUGCAUUUUUCAGUUUCUGAUGUAAAUUGAUUCUGCAAAUUCAGUGUCCUGAAGCACAGCUGGUUUAUAGGCCUCCCUCAGUUGUUGAUAUGCUUGAGGGAAGGCUCUAAUCCCCAAUUGUCCAACGAAGAUGGAUUUUCCUUAAAGUUCUGUUCGUAUCAAUUGUAGUCUCCCUUUCUUUUGUUUGUUUUAGGACACUGAAUUUUCCUUUUAAGUUCUGUUGGUGCUCUGUCAACCAGAUUGUAUAUACAUGUCAUAAUCCGAGGCUGUUAAUUUUGUAACAU
Molecule: unclassified non-coding RNA, 396 nt
Filed under: Hevea brasiliensis (rubber tree)
Lineage: Eukaryota; Viridiplantae; Streptophyta; Magnoliopsida; Malpighiales; Euphorbiaceae
Source: RNAcentral